This 497-nucleotide ribosomal RNA is filed under the name uncultured bacterium. Its description in RNAcentral is "partial 16S ribosomal RNA". It matches the Rfam family "Bacterial small subunit ribosomal RNA", at positions 28 to 507 of the family's 1533-position model. The record is from RNAcentral.
GAUGAACGCUGGCGGCGUGCCUAAUACAUGCAAGUCGAGCGAACAGACGAGGAGCUUGCUCCUUCGACGUUAGCGGCGGACGGGUGAGUAACACGUAGGUAACCUACCUAUAAGACUGGGAUAACUUCGGGAAACCGGAGCUAAUACCGGAUAAUAUUUCGAACCGCAUGGUUCGAUAGUGAAAGAUGGCUUUGCUAUCACUUAUAGAUGGACCUGCGCCGUAUUAGCUAGUUGGUAAGGUAACGGUUUACCAAGGCAACGAUACGUAGCCGACCUGAGAGGGUGAUCGGCCACACUGGAACUGAGACACGGUCCAGACUCCUACGGGAGGCAGCAGUAGGGAAUCUUCCGCAAUGGGCGAAAGCCUGACGGAGCAACGCCGCGUGAGUGAUGAAGGUCUUCGGAUCGUAAAACUCUGUUAUUAGGGAAGAACAAACGUGUAAGUAACUGUGCACGUCUUGACGGUACCUAAUCAGAAAGCCACGGCUAACUACGUG